Molecule: ribosomal RNA, 506 nt
Filed under: uncultured bacterium
Lineage: Bacteria
Description: partial 16S ribosomal RNA
Rfam family: Bacterial small subunit ribosomal RNA
Source: RNAcentral
AGUGAACGCUGGCGGCAGGCCUAACACAUGCAAGUCGAACGGCAGCACGGCAGUAGCAAUACUGUGGGUGGCGAGUGGCGGACGGGUGAGGAAUACAUGGGAAUCCACCCUGUCGUGGGGGAUAACGUAGGGAAACUUACGCUAAUACCGCAUACGACCGAGAGGUGAAAGCGGCGGACCGCAAGGCGUCGCGCGAUUGGAUGAGCCCAUGUCGGAUUAGCUAGUUGGGGGGGUAAAGGCCCACCAAGGCGACGAUCCGUAGCUGGUCUGAGAGGAUGAUCAGCCACACUGGAACUGAGACACGGUCCAGACUACUACGGGAGGCAGCAGUGGGGAAUAUUGGACAAUGGGCGCAAGCCUGAUCCAGCCAUGCCGCGUGAGUGAAGAAGGCCUUCGGGUUGUAAAGCUCUUUUGUCCGGAAAGAAAAGCUCUCGGUUAAUACCCGGGGGUGAUGACGGUACCGGAAGAAUAAGCACCGGCUAACUUCGUGCCAGCAGCCGCCGUAA